RNAcentral lists this ribosomal RNA (563 nucleotides) under Trachyrhamphus bicoractatus. RNAcentral's name for it is "partial 16S ribosomal RNA". It matches the Rfam family "Bacterial large subunit ribosomal RNA", at positions 1828 to 2597 of the family's 2925-position model. Lineage: Eukaryota; Metazoa; Chordata; Actinopteri; Syngnathiformes; Syngnathidae. The record is from RNAcentral.
CUCUUGAAAAACAAACAUAAGAGGUCCCGCCUGCCCUGUGACUACAUGUUUAACGGCCGCGGUAUUUUGACCGUGCGAAGGUAGCGCAAUCACUUGUCUCUUAAAUAGAGACCCGUAUGAAUGGCAUAACGAGGGCUUAACUGUCUCCUCUCUCCAGUCAAUGAAAUUGAUCUCCCCGUGCAGAAGCGGGGUUAAAACCAUAAGACGAGAAGACCCUUUGGAGCUUUAGAUGACAGCUGACUUUACGUUUAAACCCCAAACAAAAGGGCCAAACAAGUAAUAAAUCUGCUAACAUCUUCGGUUGGGGCGACCGCGGGGUAAAGCACAACCCCCGUGAGGAUUGGGGUAAACCCUAAAACCAAGAACACCUGUUCUAAGAAGCAAAAACUUUGACCUUAAGACCCGGCAUGACCGAUCAACGAACCAAGUUACCCCAGGGAUAACAGCGCAAUCCCCUUUAAGAGUCCCUAUCGACAAGGGGGUUUACGACCUCGAUGUUGGAUCAGGACAUCCUAGUGGUGUAGUCGCUAUUAAGGGUUCGUUUGUUCAACGAUUAAAGUCCU